AACCCAAGAGAGAUCAAAGGCAAACACUCAACUAUUAGUGUUCUGUCAGAUUCUUUCUUGAGGACAUUGUCCCGUCGAGUUGGCUUAUGAGACAUUUGAUCCGAGACUGAAACUGAUCCUUUACCCACGGCUUAUUAUAUAGACAAAUAUACUUGGGAUUGGUCUCAGUUUUCUGGUCAAAUAUCAAGUUACGCACCCACGACUUAAUACUUUAUUCUUUAGACUGAAACUUGAGACUGAACAUUGAUCCUUUUUGGUACCCGCGGCUUUAAAAUAAGAGAGACAUAUUGAUCAUGUUUGGUUUCUUGUUUCGGUCUUUAGACAACAAUUACCCACAGCUUUAAAAAUGACAAGUCUUUAG
This is an RNA transcript of Arabidopsis thaliana (thale cress), 361 nucleotides long. RefSeq lists it as uncharacterized. Lineage: Eukaryota; Viridiplantae; Streptophyta; Magnoliopsida; Brassicales; Brassicaceae. The record is from RefSeq. The transcript has a single exon.